UCCGGUUUGUCACCGGCAGUCCCAUUAGAGUGCUCAACUGAAUGUAGCAACUAAUGGCAAGGGUUGCGCUCGUUGCGGGACUUAACCCAACAUCUCACGACACGAGCUGACGACAGCCAUGCAGCACCUGGACAUCCAGUUCCCUUGCGGGCACAUCCACGUCUCUGCGGACUUCUGGAGGGUUCCAACCCAGGUAAGGUUCUUCGCGUUGCGUCGAAUUGAACCACAUGCUCCACCGCUUGUGCGGGCUUCCGUCAAUUCCUUUGAGUUUUAGCCUUGCGGCCGUACUCCCCAGGCGGAGAACUUAACGCGUUAGCUACGACACCGAGAGGCAGACCCUCCCGACAUCCAGUUCUCAUCGUUUAUGGCGUGGACUAC
RNAcentral lists this unclassified non-coding RNA (378 nucleotides) under uncultured Pseudomonadota bacterium. RNAcentral describes it as "uncultured proteobacterium contains 16S-23S intergenic spacer region". The record is from RNAcentral. Lineage: Bacteria; Pseudomonadati; Pseudomonadota.